RNAcentral lists this non-coding RNA (57 nucleotides) under Gymnodinium catenatum. The record is from RNAcentral. Lineage: Eukaryota; Dinophyceae; Gymnodiniales; Gymnodiniaceae.
CUUGGAGUGAGGAGUUGCCACUUGCUUUCGACGCCGCGCACCGCCGCAGGCUGGAAA